UGAAAACCCUAGGGGAGCCUUUGGCUGAGACGGGAAACCGGACCCUUUGAACCUGAACAAGUUAAAGCUUGCGGAGGAAAGUGGUACAAGUGAAUG
This 96-nucleotide non-coding RNA is filed under the name Weissella halotolerans. RNAcentral's name for it is "TPP sequence". It matches the Rfam family "TPP riboswitch aptamer (THI element)". From Rfam's summary of the family: Vitamin B(1) in its active form thiamin pyrophosphate (TPP) is an essential coenzyme that is synthesised by coupling of pyrimidine and thiazole moieties in bacteria. The previously detected thiamin-regulatory element, thi box was extended, resulting in a new, highly conserved RNA secondary structure, the THI element, which is widely distributed in eubacteria and also occurs in some archaea. RNAcentral also lists the same sequence under 1 other name. The record is from RNAcentral. Lineage: Bacteria; Bacillati; Bacillota; Bacilli; Lactobacillales; Lactobacillaceae.